GAGUCUGGUAAUGGAAGGCCUCCACUCGCCCCAAUCAGAGAUUCUCAAUCAGAGCCAUUGUUGUCAAAAGAACAUUGAAGUCUGCUUUGUAAUGUAAAAAUGUGUAGUUAGCCAUUCUUUCAAAUAGUUUUGCAAUGAAUAGGUGAAAUGCAGUGUAAUCAAGCUAAUGUUAAACAAUAAUAAUGUUUUUGUAAAAAGAAAGUGUAAUAUUUGCUUGGCAAGUUGUAAAAUAUACUAAAUGAAAUUUUGUGAAUGAAUUUAUAUUGUGUAUUUUAUGUUCUGGUAUGCAACUCUUCUUUCCAUUGUGUUUGACCUACUUAAAAAUCAAUUUGGUUUGGCCAAAAAGUUAGUGACAGGUUUAAUGGGGCACUCUGGCCACCUCCAGCAUACCCUGGUUUCAUGCCAUUGAUUUGUGGUUCUUAAGAGUAGAGAUUUGUCUAAUAUAAAAAAUGUAUUAGGCUAUUAGCAGUGGUAUGCUAAUGACUUGCAUCAAAAUUUGGUUAAAGAUAUCAGAUUUGCUAAUCACUUUGGCUAAUUUUUUGAUAAGUCUGACUCAACUUUACAAAACUGAUUUAUAAGGUGAGGAUUGCUCCAACAUAACACACCCUCUUAUGCUCAACACUUAUGGGUUUGGUGCGUGGAUAUAAAUGGUGGCUAUAAGCAUAUAGUAGAGAUAUGAAUGUGACCAAACUUUAGAAGAACCACUAUUAUUAAUGUCCAACACAAUGCACCUCAGUAACAAUAUAUUUUAAAAUACCACCAUAGCAACAUUUCCAUAUUAAUCCAUAUAUGAGAUAAUUGUUCACAGGACAUUAUGAAUACGCACAACUUACACCAUAAAACCGUACCAAACUCAAAGAAGUGAACUUGUGCAGAGGUAAAUAACACCCAUCCAACCAGUACAGAGGAAGAUUACACUAACUUGAAUUCACCCUUAAAAUCAAUUCAUUGAUGCACAACACAAUGAGAAUGAAGUUCAAGUUCUCAAGAGCUUCCUUCUUAUCCACAUUCCCUUUGUGCAGGGCAAAUUUGAUGACACUAAAGAUUGCAAACAGCUUCCAAAAAUAACAACAUCCAUAAUUAAACAGUACAGAAAGCAUACAUGCAAAUCCGAAAACAUGUGCAUUUGAAGGAAGCUCUGUGGUGCAAGGAGGUUGUAAGUGGAACAUUGGGACGGGAGAGAAAAUACAAGCCCGGGAGCAAAAUUGGCUCCGGCCUCCAGGAGGCAUGUUCCCAUCCAAACCAGAUGAUGUACAACCUGCUGUUGCUGCUAUAAGAGUGCAGGACCUACCUACUGCAGCACAAUUUAAAAUCUUGAAAGAGAAAUCUUAUUUCUGGCAUGUUUGACAGAGGCACUACAGCAAAACAUUCUGCAGACCCCGCUGCUGCAUUCUGUACACAAAGAUAUGCUUAUGUGGUGGCUAGAAUACUCGGUGAGCAGCGCAUAUAAAUUGUGCAUUAAUCGUUCAGGUAUUCGGGAAAGGCACAACAUUACAGGCAGCUGGAACCUGAUCUGGUGCGCAAAAAUUCCACCUAAAGUGAAAAAUCUUCUGUGGCGGAUUGGUUGUAAUGUUUUUACCAAUGUGUGUGAAUUGUG
RNAcentral lists this long non-coding RNA (1597 nucleotides) under Trifolium pratense (red clover). Its description in RNAcentral is "long non-coding RNA (TPRA_LNC003180)". The record is from RNAcentral. Lineage: Eukaryota; Viridiplantae; Streptophyta; Magnoliopsida; Fabales; Fabaceae.